GAGGAAUCUUGCGCAAUGGGGGAAACCCUGACGCAGCAACGCCGCGUGAGUGAGGAAGGUCUUCGGAUCGUAAAGCUCUGUCAGUUGGAAAGAAAUGUCUGAGAGUCAAUACCUUUCAGGCUUGACGGUACCAACAGAGGAAGCACCGGCUAACUCCGUGCCAGCAGCCGCAGUAAUACGGGGGGUGCAAGCGUUGUUCGGAAUUAUUGGGCGUAAAGAGCGUGUAGGCGGCCGGAUAUGUCAGAUGUGAAAGCCCCGGGCUUAACCCGGGAAGUGCAUUUGAAACUGUCCGGCUCGAGUAGGGGAGAGGGAAGUGGAAUUCCUGGUGUAGAGGUGAAAUUCGUAGAUAUUAGGAGGAACACCGGUGGCGAAGGCGACUUCCUGGCCCUAUACUGACGCUGAGACGCGAGAGCGUGGGUAGCAAACAG
Molecule: ribosomal RNA, 428 nt
Filed under: uncultured bacterium
Lineage: Bacteria
Description: bacterial SSU rRNA
Rfam family: Bacterial small subunit ribosomal RNA
Source: RNAcentral